This 2923-nucleotide ribosomal RNA is filed under the name Klebsiella pneumoniae. Its description in RNAcentral is "bacterial LSU rRNA". It matches the Rfam family "Bacterial large subunit ribosomal RNA". Lineage: Bacteria; Pseudomonadati; Pseudomonadota; Gammaproteobacteria; Enterobacterales; Enterobacteriaceae. The record is from RNAcentral.
GGGUUGUGAGGUUAAGCGACUAAGCGUACACGGUGGAUGCCCUGGCAGUCAGAGGCGAUGAAGGACGUGCUAAUCUGCGAAAAGCGUCGGUAAGGUGAUAUGAACCGUUAUAACCGGCGAUGUCCGAAUGGGGAAACCCAGUGUGAUUCGUCACACUAUCGUUAACUGAAUACAUAGGUUAACGAGGCGAACCGGGGGAACUGAAACAUCUAAGUACCCCGAGGAAAAGAAAUCAACCGAGAUUCCCCCAGUAGCGGCGAGCGAACGGGGAGCAGCCCAGAGUCUGAAUCAGCUUGUGUGUUAGUGGAACGGUCUGGAAAGUCCGACGGUACAGGGUGAUAGUCCCGUACACCAAAAUGCACAGGCUGUGAACUCGAAGAGUAGGGCGGGACACGUGGUAUCCUGUCUGAAUAUGGGGGGACCAUCCUCCAAGGCUAAAUACUCCUGACUGACCGAUAGUGAACCAGUACCGUGAGGGAAAGGCGAAAAGAACCCCGGCGAGGGGAGUGAAAAAGAACCUGAAACCGUGUACGUACAAGCAGUGGGAGCACCUUCGGGUGUGACUGCGUACCUUUUGUAUAAUGGGUCAGCGACUUAUAUUCUGUAGCAAGGUUAACCGUAUAGGGGAGCCGCAGGGAAACCGAGUCUUAACUGGGCGUUAAGUUGCAGGGUAUAGACCCGAAACCCGGUGAUCUAGCCAUGGGCAGGUUGAAGGUUGGGUAACACUAACUGGAGGACCGAACCGACUAAUGUUGAAAAAUUAGCGGAUGACUUGUGGCUGGGGGUGAAAGGCCAAUCAAACCGGGAGAUAGCUGGUUCUCCCCGAAAGCUAUUUAGGUAGCGCCUCGUGAAUUCAUCUUCGGGGGUAGAGCACUGUUUCGGCUAGGGGGUCAUCCCGACUUACCAACCCGAUGCAAACUACGAAUACCGAAGAAUGUUAUCACGGGAGACACACGGCGGGUGCUAACGUCCGUCGUGAAGAGGGAAACAACCCAGACCGCCAGCUAAGGUCCCAAAGUCAUGGUUAAGUGGGAAACGAUGUGGGAAGGCACAGACAGCCAGGAUGUUGGCUUAGAAGCAGCCAUCAUUUAAAGAAAGCGUAAUAGCUCACUGGUCGAGUCGGCCUGCGCGGAAGAUGUAACGGGGCUAAACCAUGCACCGAAGCUGCGGCAGCGACACUAUGUGUUGUUGGGUAGGGGAGCGUUCUGUAAGCCUGCGAAGGUGACCUGUGAGGGUUGCUGGAGGUAUCAGAAGUGCGAAUGCUGACAUAAGUAACGAUAAAGCGGGUGAAAAGCCCGCUCGCCGGAAGACCAAGGGUUCCUGUCCAACGUUAAUCGGGGCAGGGUGAGUCGACCCCUAAGGCGAGGCCGAAAGGCGUAGUCGAUGGGAAACAGGUUAAUAUUCCUGUACUUGGUGUUACUGCGAAGGGGGGACGGAGAAGGCUAUGUUAGCCGGGCGACGGUUGUCCCGGUUUAAGCAUGUAGGCUGGUUGUCCAGGCAAAUCCGGAUAAUCAAGGCUGAGGUGUGAUGACGAGGCACUACGGUGCUGAAGUAACAAAUGCCCUGCUUCCAGGAAAAGCCUCUAAGCAUCAGGUAACAUCAAAUCGUACCCCAAACCGACACAGGUGGUCAGGUAGAGAAUACCAAGGCGCUUGAGAGAACUCGGGUGAAGGAACUAGGCAAAAUGGUGCCGUAACUUCGGGAGAAGGCACGCUGGUGUGUAGGUGAAGUCCCUGCGGAUGGAGCUGAGACCAGUCGAAGAUACCAGCUGGCUGCAACUGUUUAUUAAAAACACAGCACUGUGCAAACACGAAAGUGGACGUAUACGGUGUGACGCCUGCCCGGUGCCGGAAGGUUAAUUGAUGGGGUUAUCCGUAAGGAGAAGCUCUUGAUCGAAGCCCCGGUAAACGGCGGCCGUAACUAUAACGGUCCUAAGGUAGCGAAAUUCCUUGUCGGGUAAGUUCCGACCUGCACGAAUGGCGUAAUGAUGGCCAGGCUGUCUCCACCCGAGACUCAGUGAAAUUGAACUCGCUGUGAAGAUGCAGUGUACCCGCGGCAAGACGGAAAGACCCCGUGAACCUUUACUAUAGCUUGACACUGAACAUUGAGCCUUGAUGUGUAGGAUAGGUGGGAGGCUUUGAAGCGUGGACGCCAGUCUGCGUGGAGCCAACCUUGAAAUACCACCCUUUAAUGUUUGAUGUUCUAACGUUGGCCCCUGACCGGGGUUGCGGACAGUGUCUGGUGGGUAGUUUGACUGGGGCGGUCUCCUCCCAAAGCGUAACGGAGGAGCACGAAGGUUAGCUAAUCCUGGUCGGACAUCAGGAGGUUAGUGCAAUGGCAUAAGCUAGCUUGACUGCGAGCGUGACGGCGCGAGCAGGUGCGAAAGCAGGUCAUAGUGAUCCGGUGGUUCUGAAUGGAAGGGCCAUCGCUCAACGGAUAAAAGGUACUCCGGGGAUAACAGGCUGAUACCGCCCAAGAGUUCAUAUCGACGGCGGUGUUUGGCACCUCGAUGUCGGCUCAUCACAUCCUGGGGCUGAAGUAGGUCCCAAGGGUAUGGCUGUUCGCCAUUUAAAGUGGUACGCGAGCUGGGUUUAGAACGUCGUGAGACAGUUCGGUCCCUAUCUGCCGUGGGCGCUGGAGAAUUGAGGGGGGCUGCUCCUAGUACGAGAGGACCGGAGUGGACGCAUCACUGGUGUUCGGGUUGUCAUGCCAAUGGCACUGCCCGGUAGCUAAAUGCGGAAGAGAUAAGUGCUGAAAGCAUCUAAGCACGAAACUUGCCCCGAGAUGAGUUCUCCCUGAGACUUUAAGUCUCCUGAAGGAACGUUGAAGACGACGACGUUGAUAGGCCGGGUGUGUAAGCGCAGCGAUGCGUUGAGCUAACCGGUACUAAUGAACCGUGAGGCUUAACCUUACAACGCCGAAG